This 329-nucleotide unclassified non-coding RNA is filed under the name soil metagenome. RNAcentral's name for it is "partial contains 5.8S ribosomal RNA, internal transcribed spacer 2, and large subunit ribosomal RNA". The stretch from base 1 to 120 matches the Rfam family "5.8S ribosomal RNA", at positions 35 to 154 of the family's 154-position model. The record is from RNAcentral.
GAUGAAGAACGUAGCGAAAUGCGAUAAGUAGUGUGAAUUGCAGAAUUCAGUGAAUCAUCGAAUCUUUGAACGCACAUUGCGCCCCUUGGUAUCCCGAGGGGCAUGCCUGUUCGAGCGUCAUUUCGCCACUCAAGCCUGGCUUGGUGUUGGGCGACGUCCUCUUUGGGGACGCGCCUCGAAACGCUCGGCGGCGUGGCACCGGCUUUAAGCGUAGCAGAAUCUUUCGCUUUGGAAGUCGGGGCCCCGUCUGCCGGAAGACCUGCUCGCAAGGUUGACCUCGGAUCAGGCAGGGAUACCCGCUGAACUUAAGCAUAUCAAUAAGCGGAGGA